RNAcentral lists this ribosomal RNA (480 nucleotides) under uncultured bacterium. Its description in RNAcentral is "partial 16S ribosomal RNA". It matches the Rfam family "Bacterial small subunit ribosomal RNA", at positions 29 to 507 of the family's 1533-position model. The record is from RNAcentral.
AUGAACGCUGGCGGCGUGCUUAACACAUGUAAGUCGAACGCAGCAUUUAAGACAGAUUACUUCGGUUUGAAGUCUUUUCUGACUGAGUGGCGGACGGGUGAGUAACUCGUGGGUAACCUGCCUCAUACAGGGGGAUCGCAGCUGGAAACGGCUGGUAAUACCGCAUAAGCGCACAGUACCACAUGGUACAGUGUGAAAAACUCCGGUGGUAUGAGAUGGACCCGCGUCUGAUUAGCUUGUUGGCGGGGUAACGGCCCACCAAGGCGACGAUCAGUAGCCGACCUGAGAGGGUGACCGGCCACAUUGGGACUGAGACACGGCCCAGACUCCUACGGGAGGCAGCAGUGGGGAAUAUUGCACAAUGGAGGAAACUCUGAUGCAGCGACGCCGCGUGAGUGAAGAAGUAGUUCGCUAUGUAAAGCUCUAUCAGCAGGGAAGAUAGUGACGGUACCUGACGAAGAAGCUCCGGCUAAAUACGUG